AACGAACGCUGGCGGCAUGCCUAACACAUGCAAGUCGAACGAGACCUUCGGGUCUAGUGGCGCACGGGUGCGUAACGCGUGGGAACCUGCCUUUAGGUUCGGAAUAACUCAGAGAAAUUUGAGCUAAUACCGGAUGAUGUCUUCGGACCAAAGAUUUAUCGCCUUUAGAUGGGCCCGCGUUGGAUUAGCUAGUUGGUGGGGUAAAGGCCUACCAAGGCGACGAUCCAUAGCUGGUCUGAGAGGAUGAUCAGCCACACUGGGACUGAGACACGGCCCAGACUACUACGGGAGGCAGCAGUGGGGAAUAUUGGACAAUGGGCGAAAGCCUGAUCCAGCAAUGCCGCGUGAGUGAUGAAGGCCUUAGGGUUGUAAAGCUCUUUUACCCGAGAUGAUACUGACAGUAUCGGGAGAAUAAGCACCGGCUAACUCCGUG
RNAcentral lists this ribosomal RNA (433 nucleotides) under uncultured bacterium. Its description in RNAcentral is "partial 16S ribosomal RNA". It matches the Rfam family "Bacterial small subunit ribosomal RNA", at positions 29 to 507 of the family's 1533-position model. The record is from RNAcentral.